CAUCAGAGAUUACAUUUGGUAUUUUUUGAAUACCAAUUUGAGCUUGGAAAAUGAUACCAUGUGAACUAUUUGUUCAGUCCCUGCUAAACUGUUUUUUCGCAAUGCAGUCCCUUGAAAGAUUGAGGCUUGUUUCCGUGGUUGAAAAGUCAAAACUUUUAUGCAUUGUUUGUAGACCCAGAGGAUUAUUGGAUGCCCAUGCAGCAGUUCUGCUGGAAUUCUAUUUUGGUCUGUGCUUGUCUUGGACUUUGAUUUGGUGGCGUGUGAGAAAAAUUAUGAUUCAAUUUCUGCUUCUCUGUUUUAUUCAAUUUCUGCUUCUCCUCUUUCCAUACAUAAAACCAGAACUUUUUUAUUGGGAUGGUGUUGGAUGAUUUUCAACAACUGAUUUAGACGCAAGCAAGCACUUGGGAUUUCUGUAACAAAAUUCUCCUGAUUUAUAGUUGCCUUGUCCCUGGGAUUCGAGAUUUCCUUGAAAAAAUUGAUUGUUUUGACGAUUGCGUCAUCUCAUUUUGUUUUGCACUUGUACCCUCUCUCGCUCUGAAAUUUAGAGUUGGUAAACGGGUAGCAUGGGUUUUUUGGGUCUUGUAUUUGAAAAGUGAUCUCUUGUUUUUUAAAAGUAAGAGGUUUUUUUGCGACCGGAAAACUCAUCGCCCUUGCAGUACUUUUAACUUUUCUGUGAAUUUUGUACCGGAAAGCAUCUCUUCUUUUAGAAUUGAAAGAAACUUGAAUUCGGGACAUGUUCUGAAAAAGCUCAUGAAAAAUAGAUGCGCGAACAGAGAAUGGAGGGUUUCAGUCGGUUUAAAAUAUUCUGGUUCAUCCCUGGUCUUUUGAUUGGGAAAAGCUGCUAAAUUCUAUGUGACUGUGGGAUAAGUAAACAUCUAGUGGUUUUUCCUUUUCAAAAGUGGAAGGCUGCUCUCUUGAUGCUUUUGCACUCAACUGAGAUGGUUGAACCAGUGUCUCAUCAGAGAUUACAUUUGGUAUUUUUUGAAUACCAAUUUGAGCUUGGAAAAUGAUACCAUGUGAACUAUUUGUUCAGUCCCUGCUAAACUGUUUUUUUCGCAAUGCAGUCCCUUGAAAGAUUGAGGCUUGUUUCCGUGGUUGAAAAGUCAAAACUUUUAUGCAUUGUUUGUAGACCCAGAGGAUUAUUGGAUGCCCCUGCAGCAGUUCUGCUGGAAUUCUAUUUUGGUCUGUGCUUGUCUUGGACUUUGAUUUGGUGGCGUGAGAAAAAUUAUGAUUCAAUUUCUGCUUCUCCUUUUUAUUCAAUUUCUGCUUCUCCUCUUUCCAUACAUAAAACCAGAACUUUUUUAUUGGGAUGGUGUUGGAUGAUUUUCAACAACUGAUUUAGACGCAAGCAAGCACUUGGGAUUUCUGUAACAAAAUUCUCCUGAUUUAUAGUUGCCUUGUCCCUGGGAUUGGAGAUUUCCUUGAAAAAAUUGAUUGUUUUGACGAUUGCGUCAUCUCAUUUUGUUUUGCACUUGUACCCUCUCUCGCUCUGAAAUUUAGAGUUGGGAAACGGGUAGCAUGGGUUUUUUGCGUCUUGUAUUUGAAAAGUGAUCUCUUGUUUUUUAAAAGUAAGAGGUUUUUUUGCGACCGGAAAACUCAUCGCCCUUGCAGUACUUUUAACUUUUCUGUGAAUUUUGUACCGGAAAGCAUCUCUUCUUUUAGAAUUGAAAGAAACUUGAAUUCGGGACAUGUUCUGAAAAAGCUCAUGAAAAAUAGAUGCGCGAACAGAGAAUGGAGGGUUUCAGUCGGUUUAAAAUAUUCUGGUUCAUCCCUGGUCUUUUGAUUGGGAAAAGCUGCUAAAUUCUAUGUGACUGUGGGAUAAGUAAACAUCUAGUGGUUUUUCCUUUUCAAAAGUGGAAGGCUGCUCUCUUGAUGCUUUUGCACUCAACUGAGAUGGUUGAACCAGUGUCUCAUCAGAGAUUACAUUUGGUAUUUUUUGAAUACCAAUUUGAGCUUGGAAAAUGAUACCAUGUGAACUAUUUGUUCAGUCCCUGCUAAACUGUUUUUUCGCAAUGCAGUCCCUUGAAAGAUUGAGGCUUGUUUCCGUGGUUGAAAAGUCAAAACGUUUUUGCAUUGUUUGUUGACCCAGAGGAUUAUUGGAUGCCCGCUGCAGCAGUUCUGCUGGAAUUCUAUUUUGGUCUGUGCUUGUCUUGGACUUUGAUUUGGUGGCGUGUGAGAAAAAUUAUGAUUCAAUUUCUGCUUCUCCUCUUUCCAUACAUAAAACCAGAACUUUUUUAUUGGGAUUGUGUUGGAUGAUUUUCAACAACUGAUUUAGACGCAAGCAAGCACUUGGGAUUUCUGUAACAAAAUUCUCCUGAUUUAUAGUUGCCUUGUCCCUGGGAUUCGAGAUUUCCUUGAAAAAAUUGAUUGUUUUGACGAUUGCGUCAUCUCAUUUUGUUUUGCACUUGUACCCUCUCUCGCUCUGAAUUUUAGAGUUGGUAAACGGGUAUAAUGGGUUUUUUGGGUCUUGUAUUUGAAAAGUGAUCUCUUGUUUUUUAAAAGUAAGAGGUUUUUUUGCGACCGGAAAACUCAUCGCCCUUGCAGUACUUUUAACUUUUCUGUGAAUUUUGUACCGGAAAGCAUCUCUUCUUUUAGAAUUGAAAGAAACUUGAAUUCGGGACAACAUGUUCUGAAAAAGCUCAUGAAAAAUAGAUGCGCGAACAGAGAAUGGAGGGUUUCAGUCGGUUUAAAAUAUUCUGGUUCAACCCUGGUCUUUUGAUUGGGAAAAGCUGCUAAAUUCUAUGUGACUGUGGGAUAAGUAAACAUCUAGUGGAUUUCCUUUUCAAAAGUGGAAGGCUGCUCUCUUGAUGCUUUUGCACUCAACUGAGAUGGUUGAACCAGUGUCUCAUCAGAGAUUACAUUUGGUAUUUUUUGAAUACCAAUUUGAGCUUGGAAAAUGAUACCAUGUGAACUAUUUGUUCAGUCCCUGCUAAACUGUUUUUUCGCAAUGCAGUCCCUUGAAAGAUUGAGGCUUGUUUCCGUGGUUGAAAAGUCAAAACGUUUUUGCAUUGUUUGUAGACCCAGAGGAUUAUUGGAUGCCCAUGCAGCAGUUCUGCUGGAAUUCUAUUUUGGUCUGUGCUUGUCUUGGACUUUGAUUUGGUGGCGUGUGAGAAAAAUUAUGAUUCAAUUUCUGCUUCUCCUCUUUCCAUACAUAAAACCAGAACUUUUUUAUUGGGAUUGUGUUGGAUGAUUUUCAACAACUGAUUUAGACGCAAGCAAGCACUUGGGAUUUCUGUAACAAAAUUCUCCUGAUUUAUAGUUGCCUUGUCCCUGGGAUUCGAGAUUUCCUUGAAAAAAUUGAUUGUUUUGACGAUUGCGUCAUCUCAUUUUGUUUUGCACUUGUACCCUCUCUCGCUCUGAAAUUUAGAGUUGGUAAACGGGUAGCAUGGGUUUUUUGGGUCUUGUAUUUGAAAA
Long non-coding RNA from Populus trichocarpa (black cottonwood), 3414 nucleotides. RefSeq lists it as uncharacterized. The transcript is spliced from 3 exons. NCBI's taxonomy places the organism in Eukaryota, Viridiplantae, Streptophyta, Magnoliopsida, Malpighiales, Salicaceae. The record is from RefSeq and is a predicted model, not a curated record.